AGAGUUUGAUCCUGGCUCAGGACGAACGCUGGCGGCAUGCCUAACACAUGCAAGUCGAACGAGAAAGUUCCUUCGGGAGCAAUUAAAGUGGCGCACGGGUGAGUAACGCGUAGACAAUCUGCCCUUCAGUCUGGGACAACUUUUCGAAAGGAGAGCUAAUACCGGAUAACAAUGCAUGACACAAGUUGUAUAUUUGAAAGCUUUAUGUGCUGAAGGAGGGGUCUGCGUCCCAUUAGCUAGUUGGUAAGGUAAAGGCUUACCAAGGCAACGAUGGGUAGCGGGUUUGAGAGGACGAUCCGCCACACUGGAACUGAGACACGGUCCAGACUCCUACGGGAGGCAGCAGUGGGGAAUAUUGCACAAUGGAGGAAACUCUGAUGCAGCAAUGUCGCGUGAGUGAAGAAGGCCCUUGGGUCGUAAAGCUCUUUUAUGGGGGAAGAUGAUGACGGUACCCCAAGAAUAAGCACCGGCUAACUAUGUGCCAGCAGCCGCGGUAAUACAUAGGGUGCGAGCGUUGUUCGGAAUUACUGGGCGUAAAGGGCGCGCAGGCGGAAUAGUAAGUCGGAGGUGAAAGCCCGGGGCUCAACCCCGGAGGGUCUUUCGAAACUACUAAUCUAGAGAGGGUCAGGGGCCGGCAGAAUUCCUGGUGUAGAGGUGAAAUUCG
Molecule: ribosomal RNA, 664 nt
Filed under: uncultured bacterium
Lineage: Bacteria
Description: bacterial SSU rRNA
Rfam family: Bacterial small subunit ribosomal RNA
Source: RNAcentral